GUCCAAGGCCAUGCUACCCUGAACAAGUCUGAUCUCGUCUGAUCUCGGAAGCUAAGCAGGGUCAGGCCUGCUUAGUACUUGGAUGGGAGACCACCUAGGAAGACCAGGUGCUGUAGGCG
Molecule: ribosomal RNA, 119 nt
Filed under: Pteropus alecto (black flying fox)
Lineage: Eukaryota; Metazoa; Chordata; Mammalia; Chiroptera; Pteropodidae
Source: RNAcentral